Long non-coding RNA from Vidua chalybeata, 255 nucleotides. RefSeq lists it as uncharacterized. The transcript is spliced from 3 exons. The record is from RefSeq and is a predicted model, not a curated record. Lineage: Eukaryota; Metazoa; Chordata; Aves; Passeriformes; Viduidae.
AGCCACAAUGCUGAUUUUAAGAUGCAGGAUGUCCAGCUGUGCCCUGGCAUGAAUACUCAGCCCUUGGAAGUGCUUUUGUGUGCUUGGUGGGGAACCGAGCAGGGACGUUACAGGGUGAGCCUCGCUGAUGUGACAGCAUCCAGCAUCCCCCAGCAGUGGAAUUCAGGAGAGGGCAAAGCUCAGAGGUCAUUUCCCAUCACUGACAGCCGUGCUUCUCAGGUUACAGCCCCACACGUCCUCGCAGGAACACAGAAU